GGGUCAGUAGGUUGGUCGUGCCACCGGUACGUACUGGUCUCACUGAUUCCUCCUUCCUGAAGAACCGUAAUGCCAUUAAUUUGGUGUUGCGGGGAAACAGGACUGGUACUUUGAAAAUAUUAGAGUGUUUAAAGCAAGCUAACGCUUGAAUACAUUAGCAUGGAAUAAUGAAAUAGGACGAUCGAUCCUAUUUUGUUGGUUUCUAGGAUUGACGUA
This 216-nucleotide ribosomal RNA is filed under the name Glomeromycotina sp. Its description in RNAcentral is "partial small subunit ribosomal RNA". The stretch from base 40 to 216 matches the Rfam family "Eukaryotic small subunit ribosomal RNA", at positions 686 to 864 of the family's 1831-position model. The record is from RNAcentral. Lineage: Eukaryota; Fungi; Glomeromycota.